CAAAAACUUCUUUAUAAUAUAUAAAUUCAUCUCACAAAAUUAAAUCUUUCUUUUAACUCAACAAAUUAAAAACAUUCUUACUAUAAAAUCUACACAUAAACAUUUUAAAACCCAUUAAAACCUACAAUAAAAUAUCAAUAUCCUAUAAUUAAAAACAAAAAAAAAACCAUCUUUAAAAAUACUUUAUAAUAUUUAAAUUCAUCUCACAAAAUUAAACCCUUCUUUUAAUUCAACAA
RNAcentral lists this unclassified non-coding RNA (236 nucleotides) under Hevea brasiliensis (rubber tree). The record is from RNAcentral. Lineage: Eukaryota; Viridiplantae; Streptophyta; Magnoliopsida; Malpighiales; Euphorbiaceae.